UUCGUGGUGUAGUGGUCAGCACGCUCGACGCGUAACCGAGAGGUCCGUGGUUCAAUUCCCGGCGAA
This 66-nucleotide transfer RNA is filed under the name Stegodyphus mimosarum. It matches the Rfam family "tRNA". Rfam says of the family: Transfer RNA (tRNA) molecules are approximately 80 nucleotides in length. Their secondary structure includes four short double-helical elements and three loops (D, anti-codon, and T loops). The record is from Rfam by way of RNAcentral. Lineage: Eukaryota; Metazoa; Arthropoda; Arachnida; Araneae; Eresidae.